UACGAAGGGGGCUAGCGUUGCUCGGAAUCACUGGGCGUAAAGCGCACGUAGGCGGAUUGUUAAGUCAGGGGUGAAAUCCUGGAGCUCAACUCCAGAACUGCCUUUGAUACUGGCGAUCUCGAGUCCGGGAGAGGUGAGUGGAACUGCGAGUGUAGAGGUGAAAUUCGUAGAUAUUCGCAAGAACACCAGUGGCGAAGGCGGCUCACUGGCCCGGAACUGGACGCUGAGACGCGAAAGCGUGGGGAGCAAA
Molecule: ribosomal RNA, 250 nt
Filed under: uncultured bacterium
Lineage: Bacteria
Description: partial 16S ribosomal RNA
Rfam family: Bacterial small subunit ribosomal RNA
Source: RNAcentral